ACAAAUUGUUGAGGUAUGAAUUCAUUAGUUAGAUGAAAAUGUAAAAUAAUAAAAAUAAUCAUGUGCUUCUGUGUUCAAUUGAAUUUUGGAAUAUGCGAACCUUCUAUAGUUUUAUUUGCAGCAUGUUGAAAGUGCUACAAUUAUACAAGGGCUAAUGUGACUGCAGUCGCAAUCGCUGGAACCAGAUUUUAUUGUAGUAUGAAAUAUUGAAAUAUGUGGGUAACAGAAAGUAUAUGUGAUGCAUAGUUAGAUGAGAAGUUCUAAAAUACAUCUAGAUAAUAUAAUCAUAAUUUAUGUAUGAUAAGUGUGUAUAAUUUUUUUACAAUCGUCAAUUAUAUUUGAUUCUUUGAAAUA
Molecule: long non-coding RNA, 354 nt
Filed under: Citrus x clementina
Lineage: Eukaryota; Viridiplantae; Streptophyta; Magnoliopsida; Sapindales; Rutaceae
Description: Citrus clementina (C. clementina) long non-coding RNA (CCLE_LNC003088)
Source: RNAcentral